CGGGGGUGGGGGCGACGGCCGCGGCAAAGGGUGAGGCCAACAAUGUCAAAAAGAAUUAAAAUUUGAUUUCUAAAUACUUCGUGGUGUAGAUUAUGUUCAACGGUGCCGAUUGUCGAUUUGAAAAAGCCAUUCAUAUCGGUGCGUGUGGAUUUUUGGCCAUUGAAUUAAGAAAUGUGUGGUUAGGAUAAUGUGGGACCACUAGGGUUAAGUGGGUAGUUGGUUAAAUAGUGUGAUCUAACGGAUAGAAAUAAUCAAAGAGGUAGAUCUAAUGGUAAAAAAUUUACAAGCACCAAGCACUUAGUGCUUUUACAAGCACCAUAGCUGGACUCUCUCUCUCUCUCUCUCUCUCUCUCUCUCUCUCUCUCUCUCUCUCUCUCUAUAUAUAUAUAUAUAUAUAUAUAUAUAUAUAUAUAGAACUAGGCUAAUAUACUAUUAAUAUCACCAAGUCAUUGGUGCUAUCAUACUAUAUACUAUUAAAUAGUAUGAUCUAACGGGUAGAAAUAAUCAAAGAGGUAGAUCUAAUGGUAAAAAAUUU
This 535-nucleotide long non-coding RNA is filed under the name Ananas comosus (pineapple). RNAcentral's name for it is "long non-coding RNA (ACOM_LNC013921)". The record is from RNAcentral. Lineage: Eukaryota; Viridiplantae; Streptophyta; Magnoliopsida; Poales; Bromeliaceae.